Molecule: long non-coding RNA, 1866 nt
Organism: Empidonax traillii (willow flycatcher)
Lineage: Eukaryota; Metazoa; Chordata; Aves; Passeriformes; Tyrannidae
Exons: 3
Source: RefSeq, a predicted model, not a curated record
UGGAAGGUCAAGAAAGUUGUAGUCACAUUUAAGAGACAACUGUGGUCUGUUUUUGAAUCCCCUCCAGCAUUGUCCACAUGCCAGAUGACAUGACAAGUUGUUGAAAAAGACAGCCAAAGGACUUAUCCUUUCCAUCCCAAUGCAAGGAAUUCAAUCUGAAAAACUUGAAAUCCUUAAAAAUUCUUUAAAAAUCCCCAAAACUUCUGGAAGAAAAAUGAAGCUAAUUGAAAUGCUUAAUGAUGGCACCUUUUCAUUUAUGCUACACUGUAUUCUAACUCUAUGCUAAUUAAAAUUGAAACCAUAGUGAUUUAGAAAUUCAAAUGUUUUGCCCUGAAAAAAAUAAAAAUGGUAUGCUUUGAAGCUGCCAGAACAUUUUUAUGCUGUUCUUAAAACAUUUUCACAGAACUGACAUGAUUUCAAAAGGUAUUCUUCUCAAAGGAGCUACCUUUUCAGAGAAAAGGUUUCCACUGAUGUAUUUUAUUUGACCAUCUUUAAAGCUCCUGCACUACACUUAUUUAGAAAAAGCAGGUAGAGUAGUGAUUGUGACACUUUCCAGUGGCUAGUGCAAAUUGAUUUUUAAAACACUGUAUCUCAUUCUCAGCAAUGGGCUCCAGUUUUGGUCCUGAUGCCACUAUUUUGCUUUAGUCAACUGAAAACUCCCGUCUCAGUUACAUCCAAGCAAAAACAAAGGAAAUGUUAAUAAAGGAUCACAAGCUGCAACAGUGUAAUAAAACGAGACAGUUCAAGAGACCUGUGCAGGAACUUUCCAUGUAGUGGACCACACUAAGUUGGUCCCUGAAGAGAACAAGUGAUGUUUCCCCUGUUUGCAACAUUUAUCCCUAUUCUGAGAAGAGAACUGCUACAGGGAUAGUAAAGAGCCAGUGUGCUCUAACAUUCAAAUAACUGCGUCAGAGAACCUAAAAUGUGUCAUCCUGUGUUAUUCUGAUGUCAUAUAUUGCAUGCCUUUUCUCAGAGGUAUCACCAUGUUCUUGAAACACGUGAGGAAAGCAAGCACGCAGCCGUGACCCUUUAAGCUGAGAGGAAAUUAGUACCAGUGCUCUUGUAAAUGAUUACAACAUUUUGGGGAUAGGGUGGAAAUUGACAUUCAGAAGGAAUUGGAUCUAUAGCUAUGGAAUUGCCUAUCCAUUUCUGGAACAUUAGAAAUAUGUGAUUUGUUUCCUCUGUAUUAGUUGGGAUACAGAAACAUUUUCUGCAUUACCCAUAACCUUGGGUAGAGAAGCAAAACUGUAAUGAUCGGAUUCCUAAGCUGUAAAAAUGGUUUUCUCACCGUUUAUGACAACAGUAAAUCAUUUGGACUGAAAACCAGACUUGUGCUGUGUCCACUCGGGUGUAACCUUCUGCUGCUUAGGGACAGCUCUGCUUGAGGAUGACAGAUUGAUUGGUCUGAAAGAUGAUAUGCUGCAAACAGGGCAUUCAGAUGGCAUCACCCUUUUCAUUGACUUUCCUAAAGACUUAACAUUCCUUGUAAGUCUAGAAGUUCUUUUAGAGAACCAUAAACCAUGGUUCUUCCAAUCUUCCACAGACAGGGAUGCCUGAAAAAUUAAUCCUCUGAUGGACUUUGUGGGACUAAUCUGAGUGUUUUUCAGACAUCACUUUCAGCUUUGACUCGGACUUGGCAUUUUUUAAGGGUGUUUCCUAAAUACUGGCUACUUCCAUGAAGUCAUUUCACCCAACAUGAGAAGAUGUCCACCUUUGUAAUGAGAUGCAUGACCACCCUCUAGUGAUGCACAGCAACCCAGUGACAAAGUGAGGCACCAUGGCUUAUCUGACAGGGUGAAGAGGAGGAUGUGGACAGAGAACUGCUGGAGUGUACUCACAACACAGAGUGGCAGCACAGUUGAUGAC